CAUGCUCUUGCCACGGGGGCCCAGCAGGAAGGAGCCCACAUUGGGACAAGGAGAGAAGGGUCAGUGAAAGGAAAACUGCCUCCCAGACAGUGGGUUUGGAACUGCAUGCCUCUCUGCAGGAUGACUUGCAGAACCCAGGGGCUGGGAGCCAGGAUCCUGGGAAUUUGGGACUCACCUUGGGGUGACAUCUGUCCCCACAAAACCCCAGCCACCUGACCCCUUCCUGUCCAAGAGCAUUGGUGAUGUUCCUAACUACAUACAAAAGCCUCCUGAAAUUCACUCAGCUUGGCAGUCCUGCCAGGACACCAUUUCCGGAUGGGCACUCACACCCCAGUUCCCUUGGAAUGGUAUGGCGUUCACUACCUGGAGGAACCGACUGUCCCGAGGGCUGCGAGACAACUUUAAAAUGAGGGUGGCAUUAUCUUCAUGCUGCUGCAUUAGAUCUGCAAUUGUCACAAGAUUCCACUUCACAUCCAACCCAAACCCCCCACCCCUUGCGCUUCUACCCUGACUGUCCCCACCUCGGACUAAUCGCAGCUGACUUUGGGGAAUAAAAACUGAAUGAGAUCCAUUUUUCACAGAACAGCCUCUCAGCUAUUUGAAGGUAACUCCCAAAUUCCUCCCAUAACUGCUCUUUUCUAGGCCAAACACCCCACAUUCUUCAGCCACUUCCCGUACAGUCUGACUCUAUCAC
Molecule: long non-coding RNA, 694 nt
Filed under: Fukomys damarensis (Damara mole-rat)
Lineage: Eukaryota; Metazoa; Chordata; Mammalia; Rodentia; Bathyergidae
Description: lncRNA (ENSFDAG00000033128.1)
Source: RNAcentral